CUGCAAUAUCAAACUAGGUUCCAUCCCCUGCAUCAGGCUCACCUGUGCUGGACUGUAGGAACUGGCUCGACUGCUCUGGAGUCAAAAACAGGUCCUGGCU
Molecule: long non-coding RNA, 100 nt
Organism: Dermochelys coriacea (leatherback sea turtle)
Lineage: Eukaryota; Metazoa; Chordata; Testudines; Dermochelyidae
Exons: 3
Source: RefSeq, a predicted model, not a curated record